UACCAGCACCCCGAGUGGUCGGGACGAUUAUUGGGCCUAAAGCAUCCGUAGCCGGUCAUGCAAGUCUUCCGUUAAAUCCAGCCGCUCAACGGUUGGGCUGCGGAGGAUACUACGUGGCUAGGAGGCGGGAGAGGCAAGCGGUACUCAGUGGGUAGGGGUAAAAUCCUUUGAUCAUGAAGACCACCAGUGGCGAAGGCGGCUUGCCAGAACGCGCUCCGACGGUGAGGGAUGAAAGCUGGGGGAGCAAACCGG
Molecule: ribosomal RNA, 252 nt
Filed under: uncultured bacterium
Lineage: Bacteria
Description: partial 16S ribosomal RNA
Rfam family: Archaeal small subunit ribosomal RNA
Source: RNAcentral